GUUGAAAAUGAGUGGUGAGAGGGGACAUCCUUGCUUUGUUCCUAAUAUUAGCAGGAAGGCAUGCAGCUUCUUUUGACUAAUAUGUUAUCUGUAGAAUUUUGUAGAUGUUUGUGAUCCAAGUGAGGCAUUUUUAUUAUUGAAAUAAAAUAAAUAAAACUUACUAUUUUAACCAUUAAGGUGCACAAUUCAGUGACAUUAAGUACAUUCACAAUGUUCUGCAACCAUCAAUAUCAUUCACUUUUAGAUCAUUUUCAUCAUCCCAAACAGAAAUUGUACCCAUAAACAAUAAUUCCCCUCUUGCUCUCUUUCAAUCCCCUAAUAACCUCUAUACUUUAUGAUUUUGACUAUUCUGGGCACCUCACAUACGUGUAAUCAUACAAGAUGUGUCUUUGCGUACUUGUACAAGUGUCCUUGUAUAAUAGGCCUGCAUAUGGCUUAUUUUCCUUAGCACAAUGUUUUCUUUUUAGGGGAAAACAGGGUCUUGCUCUGUUACCCUGGCUGGAGUGCAGUGGCACAAACAUGGCUUACUGCAGCCUCAAUCUCCCAGGCACAAGUGAUCUUCCCACCUCAGCCUCCUGAGUAGCUGGGACCACAAGCAUGUGCCACCAUACCUGGCUAAUUUUAAAAUUUUUUGUACAGACAGGGUCUCACCAUUUUGCCCAGGCUGGUCUCAAACUCCUGAGCUCAAGGGAUCCUCCUGCCUCCAUCUCCCAAAGUGCUGAGAUUAUAGGCAAGAGCCACAACACCACCAGCCCUAGCACAAUGUUUUUAAGGUUCAUCCAUGCUAUAGCAUAUAUCAGAGUUUCAUUUCUUUUUAAGAUUGAUUAAUAUUCCAUUGUAAGUAUACCACAUUUUGUUUAUCCAUUUACAAAAUGGACAUUUGGGUUGAUUCUACCUUUUGGCUAUUGUGAGUAAUGCUGCUGUGAACACUGGUGUACAAAUAUCUGUUUGAGUCCCUGCAGCAUAUCAUAAUUCUAUAUUUGUUAAAGAUCUCACAUACUAUUUUCUAUAGUGGUUGCACCAUUUUAUGUUCCCAUCAGCAAUGUACAAUAGUUCCAAUUUCUCCACAUUCUCACCAAAACUUGCUUUCUGUUUUCUUUCUGUAAUGACCCCUA
Molecule: long non-coding RNA, 1115 nt
Filed under: Homo sapiens (human)
Lineage: Eukaryota; Metazoa; Chordata; Mammalia; Primates; Hominidae
Description: non-protein coding lnc-SLC47A2-2:1
Source: RNAcentral